UACGGAGGGGGCUAGCGUUUUUCGGAAUUACUGGGCGUAAAGGGCGCGUAGGCGGUCGAUCAAGUUAGGUGUGAAAGCCCUGGGCUUAACCCGGGAACUGCACUUAAUACUGAUUGGCUAGAGACCGGGAGAGGUGAGUGGAAUUCCCAGUGUAGAGGUGAAAUUCGUAGAUAUUGGGAAGAACACCAGUGGCGAAGGCGGCUCACUGGCCCGGUUCUGACGCUGAGGCGCGAAAGCGUGGGGAGCAAACAGG
Molecule: ribosomal RNA, 253 nt
Filed under: uncultured bacterium
Lineage: Bacteria
Description: partial 16S ribosomal RNA
Rfam family: Bacterial small subunit ribosomal RNA
Source: RNAcentral